Long non-coding RNA from Oncorhynchus tshawytscha (Chinook salmon), 1819 nucleotides. Lineage: Eukaryota; Metazoa; Chordata; Actinopteri; Salmoniformes; Salmonidae. The record is from Ensembl.
UAAACACAAAAAGGCAAAUGGUAGUAAAUAAAUUGUAAACUGGUUAAAUAAACGACUUCUUGGAACUUUCAGACUGCCAUUGUUUUGGGAAAUAGAGGUAUGUAUAUAUAUUUCGCCAAAUAUCUCUCAAUGUGUAUAUUUAAAAAAAAAAAUUAAAAGUAGGACACCAUUUUAUUCAAUAUAAUCGCUUCUUUCUAAUUAUGUAAGGCUGGGCACUGUAUCUCGUUGUCCUUGACCACUAGACCAAAAAUAGUCCUUAGUUGCAAUUUGUUUUAUACUUCCUCGUUAUGCAGAUGUAGCUGAUGUAAAAUGGCUAGCUAGUUAGCGGGAUCGGGGCGAGGGGACGGACGUAAAAUCUAUACUGUUACACAGACAUAAGCGCAGUUGACACCAUCGAGGAUAGUGAGAUGAGGGUGAAGUCCAGGCACCAAAAGAAAGUACUAUCCGGUGAAACACUUCCGUUUUCUCUGUGCUAUGGUUUUUGACCUUCUUCAAUUGGAUGAUGGCCUCCUCCUGCAUGACACCUGUGCUACAUGCUGCUUCCUGUAUGCUUGUGAGGAAGACUCCUUCCGCCACCUCUGUCACCUGAGCCGCCUCCUGUAUGCUUCUGAGGAAGCCUUCUGCCAUCUGUCACCUGACAGACCACCUCCUGCAGACCACCUGAACUAAAUUCAGUAUCUGCUGCUUCCUCUGCUGGAGCUGGGACUACGCUCUCCUUCACUCUCUUGUUCUCUCUUUCUCAUGUUAAACUCCUACGUCUUCUUCCCUAUCCUCUACUUAAAAAAUAGACAAUUCAAGACUUUAAACAUGUUGAUAUAAAACAAUAACGAUGCACCUUUAAUUGCUUUGUGGUUGACUUAUUUUUCUACUUUGCUGUGCAUCUGUUGCAGAUUGAGGGGGUGGAUUCAUGCAAUUUAUUCUGGUAGGUACUGCCUUGGAGGACAGUGUCUUUCGUGAACCCUGUUGAAAGACAUUUUUUACCAGAAAGGUAUGUGACUGAAAUGUAUUUUUAUUGACAAAGAUGGGCAAUAAUCAGAGUAAAACACACUUCUAAGUGCCCCUCGCAGAGAGCGUAACCCCCUUUCUUCAGGCCCUCAAAGGACUUCUGCAGACUGAUGUCCCUACGCUUGAUGUUUCUCAGCCACAUCUUCCUCCUGAGUAAUUACAGAAGUGUGUAAAGGUUUAAUCUCACAUUUUAUUAAAUUUAGCUGGAUGUCCGUCUAUACUUAAGGUUUCCUGUUUUAUAGUUAAUUUAGUAGUGUAGUGAUUGCUAUGCUGUGGUAGUAUAUUGUAGUUUAUAGAUAGUUUAUGGUUAUGUCCUCUAUCCCUGUUAUUCACCCUCAUUUAAAAUAUAUAUAUAUUUAAACAGCAGCCAUUUUGUUUUUCUCUCUGUGAGAGAAAUGACUCCAGAAGUCAUAAGAAAGGCAGCCUUUCUUGCUACUCCUGUUACCAGUACCCAAAUGAGGACCUUACAUUCUUACUGAUCGUGUCUUGCUAUAGUUAGUAGUGUAAAUAGAUUCAUCCCUGUAGUCUGCAGACUUCUGGGGGCUAUGGUCACACUCCUCUUCAAUCAAAACAGACACUUCUCUCUGUGAGAAACUACCUUAACAACCAUUGCCUGAUUAGCAACACCCCCAUUAUCCCAUCUGUGGCACAAUGUUGUUCUUUGAGGUUUAACAGCUGUUGGCAUCCAAUAAAUGUUGCAUUACCGCCAUCUACAUGACUGGAGUACAUCUCCUUAAUACUUUGCUUGAGGGAAGAAAAAAAAAUACCCUGCCAUCAAACACUACACUCACAAAAAAAAUACCACCUACUCCAC